RNAcentral lists this ribosomal RNA (773 nucleotides) under uncultured Neocallimastigales. Its description in RNAcentral is "partial large subunit ribosomal RNA". It matches the Rfam family "Eukaryotic large subunit ribosomal RNA", at positions 20 to 649 of the family's 3401-position model. The record is from RNAcentral. Lineage: Eukaryota; Fungi; Neocallimastigomycota; Neocallimastigomycetes; Neocallimastigales.
UACUAGAGUAGCACUCGCAUAUCAAUAAGCGGAGGAAAAGAAACUAACAAGGAUUCCCCUAGUAACGGCGAGUGAAGCGGGAAGAGCUCAAAUUUGAAAUCUUAAAGGGUUUCCCUUUACGAAUUGUAGUUUAAAGAAGUGUUUUCUGUUGAGGUUUUGGUAAAAGUUCUUUGGAAUAGGACAUCAUAGAGGGUGAGAAUCCCGUAUUUGACCUUUACUUUCAACUUUGUGAUACACUUUCAAAGAGUCGGAUUGUUUGGGAAUGCAGUCCAAAAUGGGUGGUAAAUUUCAUCUAAAGCUAAAUAUUGGCGAGAGACCGAUAGCGAACAAGUACCGUGAGGGAAAGAUGAAAAGAACUUUGAAAAGAGAGUUAAACAGUACGUGAAAUUGUCAAAAGGGAAGCGUUUGACACCAGUGUUGUUUUUCUGAAAAUCAAUUAAAGAACUGUUUAUGCUAAGUUGUUUAGACUUUAUCAGCUAACUGUUUAGUUUUGAGCUUUUCUUUAAUGCACUUUCAGUUAACAAGUCAACAUCAAUUUCUUUUGCUGUAAAAAAGCUUGAGGAAGGUGGCUUGAGAUUCGUCUUAAGUGUUUAUAGCCUCUUGCCUAUGCAGUCGGAGAGAUUGAGGUCUGCAGCGUAGAUCCUUCGGGGCUAAAUGCAUUUGUGCUAAGUUAUAGCAUUUUAUAGACAACUUGUUGACUAUGAUUUGUCUUGUAGCUUACUCGCUUAUGUUAUUUUACCUACGCUUAGGAUGUUGAGUAGCGACAUACGCAC